This 365-nucleotide unclassified non-coding RNA is filed under the name uncultured cyanobacterium. Its description in RNAcentral is "partial contains 16S ribosomal RNA, 16S-23S ribosomal RNA intergenic spacer, and 23S ribosomal RNA". The stretch from base 1 to 120 matches the Rfam family "Bacterial small subunit ribosomal RNA", at positions 1414 to 1533 of the family's 1533-position model. The record is from RNAcentral. Lineage: Bacteria; Bacillati; Cyanobacteriota.
GCCACGCCCGAAGUCGUUACCCUAACCGCAAGGAGGGGGAUGCCGAAGGCAGGGCUAGUGACUGGGGUGAAGUCGUAACAAGGUAGCCGUACCGGAAGGUGUGGCUGGAUCACCUCCUUUUAGGGAGACCUUUUGCCAGCAGCAACCCAAAAUAAAACGCUGUCUGUGCGAACAAUCCCAAGGUCGUGCCAGAAAAGAGUAAGCUUUCCAACUAACGAAGGGUUCGAGUUCUAACCAGAACUUAAAAAAGCACCUUGAAAACUGCAUAGAAAAUAGAUAGAGAAAUAUCAGAAAAUCUGAUAACCAGGUGAAAAAUCCAGGUCAAGCUACAAAGAGCUAACGGUGGAUACCUAGGCACACAGAGG